This 74-nucleotide transfer RNA is filed under the name Candidatus Pacearchaeota archaeon. RNAcentral describes it as "tRNA-Pro". It matches the Rfam family "tRNA". From Rfam's summary of the family: Transfer RNA (tRNA) molecules are approximately 80 nucleotides in length. Lineage: Archaea; Nanobdellati. The record is from RNAcentral.
GGGGCUGUAGUAUAGCUUGGUUAGUAUACGUGCCUAGGGAGCACGCGGCCCCGGUUCAAAUCCGGGCAGCCCCA